Molecule: non-coding RNA, 990 nt
Organism: Ciona intestinalis (vase tunicate)
Lineage: Eukaryota; Metazoa; Chordata; Ascidiacea; Phlebobranchia; Cionidae
Source: RefSeq, a predicted model, not a curated record
ACAUUAUUAUAGUCCAGCAGAAUUGUGUCAAAUUAUGGUCGAAUUGUGAAAUUUGAGUGAGAAACUGAUCAUUUGGAAUUAGAAGCCAUUAUAUGUCAAGAAAUUGCUUCGUAACUGUGAUUCAGAUAGCUUUUCAGAACCUCAUUAAAUAGAGUAAAACUGUUGGUUGCAGAUGUAUGACAAUAAAACGUGAUGUCAAAGAAGAUCGUGAUUUUGGACUGUGAAAGAUCUGUAAGAUGAGAAAAAUCUAGUACUAUUGACUAGGGAAAAUGUUGUAUUUGUCAAAAAGAUACUUCAGAGAAACUGGUAUGUCCGGCGACGUUCCAUAGAAAGGGAUAUGACCGCAACUCAAUAUAUAAGGCACUCGCUGGAAACACUUUGAAGAUGUCACGCCAGCAUUUAAAUCUCUCUCUGAAGCACCAGAUCUUGCUGACGUUGAUAAGAGUUUACCAGUUUUGGAACGUUUCGUUGUCCUGCUUUAUGAUCGCGUCAGCACAUGUAGCUAUGUAGAUGAUUGCCGCAGAGAGCUUUUCACAAAAAGGGGAAGAUCUAUUGAGUCCUCCCACCAGAGCAGCGUUACUAGAACAUGUGCGGAGAGCUGCUUAUCAGGCUGGGCAUUGCUGGGGUCAGUCACUGUUUGCCAGUCCCGAGCUUCCAAUCCAAACAACUGGGGAUGGCAGACAUCUGCGAAAGGGUUUGUUCCUUUCCGGACAAAUCUUUCGGAAGUAUCGUCAACAACCAGAGAACUAAUUAAAUGUGAAUGCAAUCCAGAAAAAGGUUGCCGUGGCCGGUGCAAAUGUGUCAAUCAGAGCUUCAAUGUACAGCGCUUUGCAAAUGUAACGGAGACUGAGAUUGACUAUGAACAUUGUCAUUAUUUGUUUUAUUUAUCGUUCCAUGACAGUUAGCUCCAUUGUUACUUUAUGCUUGUCGCCCUGAUAAUGCGAAUACAAGCCAAAAUUGCGACGACACCAUGACAUCACAUAAACAUUA